CCCUUUCCCUCGGUUUCCUUGCUUAAGAAGGACAGGUGGGAGAAGGGCAGAGAGAGAGAGAGAGAGAGAGAGAGAGAGGAGACUCACUUGAGGCUGAGGCCGUCGCCAUUGAUGGAGCUCGUCCCCUACGCGUCCAACCGUAACCCGAACGUCCCCUGGUCCGAGAUGUUCCGCGCCGCCUCCCUCCGCCGCCCGCCGGACUCGCUUCCCCCCUCCCGCCCAUCUUCACCUCCUCAUCCCCGUCGUCGCCAGGAGGCACCGCCGCCUCCGUCCCCCGAGGCGGCCUCAGUCGAGUCCUCCCACGACGCCGCCCGCCUCGCUCUCUACAUCGCCAUGGCGCACGCCGGCCUCGCCCUCACCCUCCUCCUCCUUUACGGCCUCUACCGCCUCCUCCACGACUUCGUCCGACCCCUCCAGUGGGCGCUCCUCUGCUCCAUCCCCCUCCACGAGCUCCAGCGCGCCCUCGUCGACUUCUGGUCCCCGCCUCUCCACCUGGGCCUCGCCCCCGCCUUCCUUGCCGUCCCCGCUGCCCUCGUCCGCGCCUCCGCCGACACCCUCGCCGACCUCCGCACCGCCAUCCUCCGCCGAAAGCUCCGGUCCUCCCGCAAGGUCGGCUUUUCCCGCCUCAUCCGCUGGCUCGUCUCCUUCUGGGUCUUCAUCAUCUCUCACGAGCAGCUCGGCCCCGCUGCCACCGUCGCACUAUUCGCCCUCGGUCUCCUCCUGGCCAGCCCCACCGCGACCUCCGCCGUAAAAAAUGCCAGCUUCGUUCGCGGUCGGUCCUCCACACGCCCCUCCGAGCGGGGCGGUGGCGGAUUCUUCACCAAACGCAUCCUCAAGCACCUGAAUACCAUAAUCGCCGUCAGCUUAAUCGUCUGGAUGAUUAUCGGGGCCUUGGCCGGAGGCAUCUUCUUCUCCUACAAGAUCGGAGUGGAAGGGAAGGAUGCGGUGAUAUCGCUGAAAUCCCACGUCCAGAAGAGCAAUUACGCCGAGAGGAUCGGAUUCAAGAAGUGGUUGGACGACAACGAUAUCCCCGGCCUGGUGGAUCAAUACUCGGCCAACCUCUACGAUACUGUCUGGCAGCAGAUCGAUAGCUUGGCGGUCGAAUACAAUCUUACAGAUUUUGCCAAUGGUUUCCGGCAAUUCUUGAUCAGUCGAUCCAGGAACCCCUCGGGAGGCGCUUCCACCUCUUUGAUGGCCUCGGCUCAGCAUCCUUACAGCGUAAAGCUCCAAUCUUUGAGCAUCCACUUCAAGAAUCACGAUUGGGCAGAGAUCUACAAGGAAUUGGACUCGUUCUUCAGGGAAUUGCUGAUCACCAGAGAGGAUCUGGUGGUGACAGCGAAAGGGCUUGCUUUCCGAGGGAUGGAAAUCUCAAAGCGGGUUCUUUCAAGUAGUACUUCGGUCAUCGGUGGCAGUGCUAGUUUAAUGGUAUCCAUUGCCUUGAAGUUGGCCUCGGGUGCAGCCGAAGUAUUGAAUUUUGUUUCCCAGUUGACGGUUUUCCUGUGGGUGUUGUAUUAUCUCAUCACCUCGGAGUCAGGCGGGGUGACAGAGCAGGUCAUGGAUAUGCUGCCCAUGUCAAAAUGGGCAAGAGUACGUUGUGUCGAGGUUAUCAACCAUGCCAUCAGCAGUGUGUUCUUGGCCACAGCGAAGAUUGCAAUCUUCCAAGGUUCUCUAACAUGGCUGCUAUUCAGGUUCUGCUCCGUUCAUUUCGUGUAUACCUCGACUCUCCUUGCUUUUAUUAGCUCGUUGGUGCCUAUACUCCCACUUUGGCUGUCAACGAUCCCUGCUGUGGUUCAGUUGUUCAUGGAAGGCAAAUUUGUAUGGGCGGUUGUGGUCACGGUGAUUCACCUUAUGAUGAUGGAUUAUGGUACUACGGUGCUUCAGGAGGAUAUACCUGGGCAUAAUGCAUAUCUAACUGGCCUUAGCAUCAUUGGUGGCAUGACAUUGUUCCCUAAUGCUUUGGAGGGAGCCAUAAUGGGUCCGCUAAUUAUGACGGUUGUCAUUGCUUUGAAGAACUUGUAUGUGGAGUUUGUUCUUGCUGAUAAAGAGGAAAGUGGCAGAGAAUCUGUGGUUACUGAUAAAGAGAAUAGCAGCAGCUAGUUCUUAUUAAGAGCAUACCUUCAUAUAAGUAAGAUUAUGCAGACUGUUUAGCAUCAUUUCAGGAGCAUGUCAGAGAUUUCUAGUCACUGGACCGAUGUGACUUCUUCCAGGACCAACAUGAUAUGAUCUACAUGAUCUCUCAUGCAUAAAGGGAGGAUGUGGUUAGAUGGUCAUGCUUUUGGUUGUGGUUGGAAGGAUCAUCAGGUGUGUGUGCUCCUGGUCCUCGUUAAUUCGUGGAAACGAAGAACACUAGCAAUCAAGGAGAUGUCAGCUUCGACAUGCACAUCAUCUUUGAUCUCACUGAGCUAAUUAUGAUGUGCAGGAUUACCUUUUUCAAUCACAUUUGAUAUUAUCCGGAAGCAUAUACCACUUUCUAAUAAUCAUCUAUAACAUUUUGCAGGUCUCAUAAUAGCACGAGGACUUGCGACUUCUCAGCUUGAAGAAGACAAUGAGAUUUAUGUAGAGGUUUGGAUGCCAAUGCCCCUUUUUAAGUUGACCUGUGGGCAUGGAGAUGCUUAUGUUUGUGGGUACUGCAAUGCUCGUCCAAGAUACUGAUGCACUGUUGCCUUGUCUCGACGCGGAGAUGCUCGAGUUCUCCAAGCUGGUUUGACGAUACGAAAGAUAGCUUUCUAUGAGAGAGAGGAGGAUAUGACCACUAAGUAUUUAAGUGCUCUCUGUCCACCAAUUUGUCGACCGUAAUUUUUCAUAUUAUCCAUCUUUAUAGUCAAUUAUUUUUA
Molecule: RNA transcript, 2834 nt
Organism: Musa acuminata AAA Group (dessert banana)
Lineage: Eukaryota; Viridiplantae; Streptophyta; Magnoliopsida; Zingiberales; Musaceae
Exons: 3
Source: RefSeq, a predicted model, not a curated record